UACGAAGGGGGCUAGCGUUGUUCGGAAUCACUGGGCGUGAAGGGCGCGUAGGCGGCUUUUAUAAGUCGGGGGUGAAAGCCUGUGGCUCAACCACAGAAUUGCCUUCGAUACUGUAGAGCUUGAGACCGGAAGAGGUAAGUGGAACUGCGAGUGUAGAGGUGAAAUUCGUAGAUAUUCGCAAGAACACCAGUGGCGAAGGCGGCUUACUGGUCCGGUUCUGACGCUGAGGCGCGAAAGCGUGGGGAGCAAACAGG
RNAcentral lists this ribosomal RNA (254 nucleotides) under uncultured bacterium. RNAcentral describes it as "partial 16S ribosomal RNA". It matches the Rfam family "Bacterial small subunit ribosomal RNA", at positions 524 to 776 of the family's 1533-position model. The record is from RNAcentral.